Pezoporus flaviventris is the source of this 3987-nucleotide long non-coding RNA. RefSeq lists it as uncharacterized. NCBI's taxonomy places the organism in Eukaryota, Metazoa, Chordata, Aves, Psittaciformes, Psittacidae. The transcript has 3 exons. The record is from RefSeq and is a predicted model, not a curated record.
CCAAACGUAACUGAUAAGUUUUGGCUAAUGCUUUCAUUUCUGAGGAGGCAAAACACCACCUACAUGUAAAAUGGUGAUAUUGCCAGAUAAACUCAUGUAUCUCACAUGUUACAACAUAAAGAAAGGAAUUUACUCUGAGGUGCAAUGUUCUGUGGUGAUACAGCAAGAAAAACCUCCUUUAUAAACAGCCAAAACUGAUAUUUUCUGUGGAAUACUGGAAUAGCUUUAAACUUUUUUUCUUUUUUCUUUUCCUUUGCAGAUGGGAUCUUUUGAUGGUCCAGAAGUUCUCCUCAAGGGAUUGGCUGUCAAGCCAGAGCACUUUUUCUGCUCAGUAACAAAAAGUUACUUACUGUGGACAGUGGGAAAGCCAGGACACUGAAAAGAAGGUCUCUGCUGGAAAUUACACACUUAGCACAUCGCAGUUUCUUAAUUAGUCUCAACAUAUCAGCCAGCAAGGACACCCCAUAGAAGACAGCCUGCAAAACCUAAAGAGAUCAAGCUGAACCAGGUUUCAGACACACACAGGCAAAGCCUUGCAGAAAACUACUUCUUCCACAACCUUGCAUUCAGCACUGAAUCUAGUUCAGUUCUGUUAACUUACAGGAUGGACUCUUUCAGUCUAUGUUCUCCCAGAGUGAUGCAAUAUGGGAAAUGCAGCUUACUGCAAACGCUGGACCAGCUAGCAAUGCUUAAAUGGAAAGAGGCUGUGUCACAGCUUUCAGGAUGAGAUCUCUUUUGCCAUGAUCUUACUCUGAAUCAGAUAUUUAUUUAGAGCAGUGACUGAAGAUGUGGCUGGUUACUUCAGCAGUUCCUGAAGGAGGCAAGAAGGGUGGUGCUUGAGAGGGGACAGAAUUAAUGCAAUGAUUUUCCAUCAGAAAUUACUUUAUUAUCAAAAUAUCUCGGGGAAGGAGGGGACUGUGAUUUCACCAUUCCCAUUGUCAAACAAGGGUUUCUGUAAGCUUUAGUUUACAGAGACUAGGUCUUCCUGCGGAGCAAAGUGACCGUAGUUUGCAUAACCAAAGUAUCCUUGCAGCUAUCUGUAACCAUCCCCAUCCAUUUUGUUGCUUCCCAGCAAAAGGAAAAGAUACAUCCUUCUUUAUCCAUCCCUUACACAGUUCUGAUGGUGCCCACAGUAGACUGCAGCGUGUCCCCCAUCUCUGCACAGACCCACAGAGGUGGAGGUGCUGACGCAGGCUGGGUGACUGGCCCAGGGUCUCCCAGGAUAAGGUAUUGGAGAUCAUGCACCACUCAGUUCAGCUGCAAAGCCUUGUGUUUCCUCUCAAGAGCAUGGGGUGAACAGCCACAUUUUUACAUUAAAAAAAAAAAAACCAAGCAGUUUCAUCAGAACCCACAUAUGGUUUAGUUCAAUUCUGAGGCACCCAAACCAGCUCUUUUAAAUGUGGUUUUCUCUCUCCCCAUUAUCACAAUUAGCCUCUGUAGCUGCAGACACAAUUUCAGCCCACAGAGAUUCAGCCCUCCAAGUCACGAAUCUAGUUCAGAAAAGUCCAUACUGAGGCACAGUGUACUUAGACCCAAACACAUGUCCAACCCAAACAUCUGUCCCAGUCCUUAGCCUCACCAAGACACCAGAACCAAGCUCCUGAAGAGCUAAGAAAAGCCUGGUAACAAGCAGACACUCUUAUUACACCCUGUAGAGUCAGCAGUAACUUUCUGUGAAAGCAUGAAAAAUGAACAUGAGGGUAGUGACAGACUGGUGACACAUGGUGACUAAUUGCCAAUAAAGCAAUUAGGGGGAGGCCUGGUUCCCAGAGGAUGGGGCUAUUAUUAUCUUGUUCAUGGUCAGCCUUACAUUAAUCAUGGGACAGGGAUAGGCUGCUUCUUCCCCCUCCUUCAAAACUGACUAAAACAAACAUUGCUGAAAAGAAACAGUCCCAAAAUAGCCACAUUCUCAGUCUGGUAAAUAUUCUGUCAUAUGCAGGGAAAGAUAAUUUUAUCGUCCAUAUGGAAACUGCUUAUCAGAAUGUGUAACCUGACCCAUUUCUCUGACAGGACAUGGAGAACAGCUCCUGAAGAAGUUUGAACUCAGUCUCAGGAGCUUGUUUUGGCACUGCUCACAGUUCUACCCUUGUCCAUUUCUGUGAGUCCGUAGGGGGUUCGGUCAGUUUGUGGUCACCCUGUACUUCCAGGAGCAAUGGAAGUGUAUACAAGUAAUUUUCAAGCCAGGAAACCUGAACCUAGUUAGAACCAUCCCUAGUAACACUCAGUCUGGCAGGGUACAUUGCUCGUAGACUAGAAUCAGAGGUCCAAACCUGUGCUUUUCCAGGCUUAUUCCUGUAAGAAAGGUGCAUCCAAAUCUCACAGCCCUUCAUUAGUGAGAAAAUGUUGACUUUUUUUAAAAAAAAAAGACAUGAAAACAUCAAAUUAUUCCAGAUGUCCUGUGGAUUUCCCAAACAGCAGUGCUGGCGCUCAUAAAUCCAUUGCAGCCGCUUGUGGAAUAUAAAUCCACUGGCUGUAAAUAAAGAGCAUCCCACAAAGUAUUCCCACACGAACAGAAGGAAGACUGGAAGCAUUCAGAAAGCUAAUGAUUACUCCAAAGAGGACAACAUGGAUAUGCUAAUCCCUGUUGGAGAGAUGCUGCUUUCCUCAAGACCCUGCAGAGCUCCAUGGCACUAGGUGCUGUAGAAACACUUAAUUUGGCCAGAUCGAUUUUCCAAACUGAGAGUCAUUGUGACAAAGACAAACUCAAUUUUUAUCCGCUGCAGUGAUCAAAAGGGUGUUUCUGUUUAACCGACCUGACAUGAUUUACUUUCCUAUAUAAGAUCUAGUCAUAUGUGUACAUUGAAAUUUCCAACUAGUACAAAUAAAUUGAAGCUCUGCCCGUAAGGGGGGAUAAAUCCAAUAGUAUGAGUAGGCUAUUAGAUAUAACAGUUAACAUUGAAUAUAAACAGACACACAUCCAUUCACAUGAUAGUGACCUGGAAAAUAUGCAUGCUAAAUACUGUGUCUAUUUUGAAAUAAAAUAAACCCUGCUUUUAGGAGAAUUGAAAAGUAUUUCAAUUAUGAGACAAAAAUGUAAGACAUAAAAUAGGGCAGGAAUGCAAUUAAUAGUUUUUAAAGGUGCAGUGUGCUCAUUAUACAAUGAUUUGCUAAUAGAUUUAUGGCACUGAGCAGAUUUUUAUAAACUUGGAUAUUUCAGGCAACGAAUGAUUCAGCUUGUCCUGUUUUGUGUCACAGACAAAUGAAUACAGAACUGUUUUUAUCUGUCAUUUCUGCUUGUUCAAUAAUCAGUCAAUGAACUCCUUUGAUACAAAACCCACUUAUCUAUUUUUUUUGCCCUACAAAAAUAUUUCCUUUCUAAAUCUUGAUUGCUGUGUUCAUUAACUAGAUAAAUGAAUCUGAACGUCAGAGCUGUAGCUCUCUUGGGAGAGCCACAUGACUACUGAGGAAUUGAAUGAGGUGCUAAAAGAGGGUCAUGUCUAUCAAAUUCUUUCAGCAUCCCUCCAGCAGAGCUAGGAGUCAAGCUGAAUUUCCACCACUGGAAAAUGCCACGUUUCCCAGUAUUUCCAUUUUAGAUCAGAGUGAGCUGACCACAGCAGCUUUCCACAGAAGGAAAUUUUUAAAUGCAAUUCCAAAGAACUAAGAGGAAUUCUGGGGGGGAAAUUUCCAAGCAACUCAUCCAGCCAGUGCCAGAAGCCAGGCAAUCACAGUCUGGCAGGAGACAGGCAGAGAAACUGGACAACGGCUCUGCAUGCCUGGCUCUAGGAAAGCCCAGCGUGGCAGCUCAACUGAACCAGCACAGACCAGCAGGAAGCUUUUGCCCGCUCUUCUUCCCCAGGGCGGUAUCUCCCAUCAUCCCAAGGCACCUCCUGGGACUAGGCACUUCCUAAGGUGCAGAAAUGUCAAGCAUCAGGUGUGCACCUUAUGGUCAUCUGUGGUUGACAGCCACCAGGUUCCUUCAUGUCUCUCAGCAGCAGCAAGAAGUGUUUUAAUACCAAACCAUAGGGCAAUUCUUCUAGGUCUUGUGGA